Molecule: ribosomal RNA, 829 nt
Filed under: Dactylonectria estremocensis
Lineage: Eukaryota; Fungi; Ascomycota; Sordariomycetes; Hypocreales; Nectriaceae
Description: eukaryotic LSU rRNA
Rfam family: Eukaryotic large subunit ribosomal RNA
Source: RNAcentral
AUUGCCCUAGUAACGGCGAGUGAAGCGGCAACAGCUCAAAUUUGAAAUCUGGCCUUCGGGUCCGAGUUGUAAUUUGUAGAGGAUGCUUUUGGUGAGGUGCCUUCCGAGUUCCCUGGAACGGGACGCCAUAGAGGGUGAGAGCCCCGUCUGGUUGGACACCGAUCCUCUGUAAAGCUCCUUCGACGAGUCGAGUAGUUUGGGAAUGCUGCUCUAAAUGGGAGGUAUAUGUCUUCUAAAGCUAAAUAUUGGCCAGAGACCGAUAGCGCACAAGUAGAGUGAUCGAAAGAUGAAAAGCACUUUGAAAAGAGAGUUAAAAAGUACGUGAAAUUGUUGAAAGGGAAGCGCUCAUGACCAGACUUGGGCUUGGUUGAUCAUCCAGGGUUCUCCCUGGUGCACUCUUCCAGUUCAGGCCAGCAUCAGUUCGCUGUGGGGGAUAAAGGCUUUGGGAAUGUGGCUCCUUCGGGAGUGUUAUAGCCCAUUGUGUAAUACCCUGUGGUGGACUGAGGUUCGCGCAUUCGCAAGGAUGCUGGCGUAAUGGUCAUCAGCGACCCGUCUUGAAACACGGACCAAGGAGUCGUCUUCGUAUGCGAGUGUUCGGGUGUUAAACCCCUACGCGUAAUGAAAGUGAACGCAGGUGAGAGCUUCGGCGCAUCAUCGACCGAUCCUGAUGUUCUCGGAUGGAUUUGAGUAAGAGCAUACGGGGCCGGACCCGAAAGAAGGUGAACUAUGCCUGUAUAGGGUGAAGCCAGAGGAAACUCUGGUGGAGGCUCGCAGCGGUUCUGACGUGCAAAUCGAUCGUCAAAUAUGGGCAUGGGGGCGAAAGACUAAU